CCUACGGGAGGCAGCAGUGAGGAAUAUUGGUCAAUGGACGAGAGUCUGAACCAGCCAAGUAGCGUGAAGGAUGACUGCCCUAUGGGUUGUAAACUUCUUUUAUAUGGGAAUAAAAUGUUCCACGUGUGGGAUUUUGUAUGUACCAUAUGAAUAAGGAUCGGCUAACUCCGUGCCAGCAGCCGCGGUAAUACGGAGGAUCCGAGCGUUAUCCGGAUUUAUUGGGUUUAAAGGGAGCGUAGGUGGUUUGUUAAGUCAGUUGUGAAAGUUUGCGGCUCAACCGUAAAAUUGCAGUUGAAACUGGCAGUCUAGAGUACAGUAGAGGUGGGCGGAAUUCGUGGUGUAGCGGUGAAAUGCUUAGAUAUCACGAAGAACUCCGAUUGCGAAGGCAGCUCACUGGACUGGAUCUGACACUGAGGCUCGAAAGUGUGGGUAUCAAACAGGAUUAGAUACCCGGGUAGUC
This 460-nucleotide ribosomal RNA is filed under the name uncultured bacterium. RNAcentral's name for it is "partial 16S ribosomal RNA". It matches the Rfam family "Bacterial small subunit ribosomal RNA", at positions 338 to 795 of the family's 1533-position model. The record is from RNAcentral.